UACGGAGGGGGCUAGCGUUGUUCGGAAUUACUGGGCGUAAAGCGCACGUAGGCGGCUUUGUAAGUUAGAGGUGAAAGCCCGGGGCUCAACUCCGGAAUUGCCUUUAAGACUGCAUCGCUAGAAUUGUGGAGAGGUAAGUGGAAUUCCGAGUGUAGAGGUGAAAUGCGUAGAUAUCUUGAGGAACACCGGUGGCGAAGGCGGCAUCCUGGACCGACACUGACGCUGAGGAGCGAAAGCCAGGGGAGCAAACGGG
Molecule: ribosomal RNA, 253 nt
Filed under: uncultured bacterium
Lineage: Bacteria
Description: partial 16S ribosomal RNA
Rfam family: Bacterial small subunit ribosomal RNA
Source: RNAcentral